This is a long non-coding RNA of Lycium ferocissimum, 1233 nucleotides long. RefSeq lists it as uncharacterized. The record is from RefSeq and is a predicted model, not a curated record. The transcript is spliced from 3 exons. Lineage: Eukaryota; Viridiplantae; Streptophyta; Magnoliopsida; Solanales; Solanaceae.
UUCAAGGUAUUUGCAUACGAUGUUAACAAAAUUUAAUCGCAAUGAACGGAAUUAUGACGGUGGUGCUAUUGAAUCUGAUGGAGGUUUAUUAAUUUUUUCUCAACCUGGAAAAUUAUUAGGCAGUGUCGACACACCGGGCAUUCUUGAUUCAUUUGAAUUUGAGCAGGCACAUUUUUAUAUUUUGAAGAACUCUGAUGAAAUUCAACCAUUUCUCGAAGAAUUUUCACAAAUUCCAGUUGAUACGUCUAAAAACAAUUCAGAUAUCGAAUAGAAUAGACAAUUCGUUAGUUGGUUAAAAAUAAAGGUUGGGGAAUUGUACAAACACAAUGAUAGUAAGAAAAUAAAAGAUUUGCAUUCAUUGUCACGUGGUCCUAUGCCAUAUGUGACAAGUUUCAAAGGAUACAUUACUAAUGGAUAUAGGUUUCACGUGAAAGACCAUGAUACUGGUUUGAGAACUCAAAAUUGCGGGGUGGUUAUAGUUGGUGAGACUGAUGAAGAGAAUAAAAAUAUUGUUUACUACGGAGAGUUAACUGAGAUUCUUGAAUUACAAUUUACAGGGGGAAGAAGAGUGGUGUUGUUUCGAUGUUUGUGGUUUUAUAUGUAUGACCAAGAAAGGGGAAUUAAAGUAGAUAAAUAUGGCUUCGUAAGUGUUAACCGCCAGCGGUUUUUGAAAAUAAAUGAGCCUUUUGUAUUAGCCAACCAAGCAUCACAGGUAUUCUAUGCUAACGAUCUUUCGAAUAAAGGCUGGCAUGUUGUACAAAAGGUUCAACCUCAUGAUUCUUUUGAUGUUGGGAAAAAAGAGGAAGAUGAUUUAGAGGAGCUAUCAGGAAUCUAGGAAGCAGUUUGGUGUGGAAUAGCUGGCUGAAGUAAUUACGAAGAGGGUUGUUAAUAUCUCACAAAGAAUUCAAUGGGAUCGAUGGAAUUUAUUGAUUUUACAAGUUUCAAUUUAUGAUUUGCAGUAAAGGAUAUUCUAUUUGGUCACUCUGUACUCAUGUUUGUUUUCUGAGUUCCCAUUUUUUUUACUAUGGUGUUAAGUUGGAUCCUAAAAACACUGAUGUUUUGAUUUCUAUUUUCAAGUACUUCCUUCACGGUUCUCUGAUUGGUUUCUAUUACUGAAGUGCGCUAUGAUCAUUUCCUAUAAUGAUUUUUGCCUAGGAUAUAUUUAUUUGUUUGUUUGAUUAAACAUAUGAUGUAUGCUAAUUUAAAAAAUAACAGUAAGAUAUCGUUGGCAGU